UACGUAGGGUGCAAGCGUUAAUCGGAAUUACUGGGCGUAAAGCGUGCGCAGGCGGUUGUGCAAGACCGAUGUGAAAUCCCCGGGCUCAACCUGGGAAUGGCAUUGGUGACUGCACGGCUAGAGUGUGUCAGGAGGGGGUAGAAUUCACGUGUAGCAGUGAAAUGCGUAGAGAUGUGGAGGAAUACCGAUGGCGAAGGCAGCCCCCUGGGAUAACACUGACGCUCAUGCACGAAAGCGUGGGGAGCAAACAGG
RNAcentral lists this ribosomal RNA (252 nucleotides) under uncultured bacterium. RNAcentral's name for it is "partial 16S ribosomal RNA". It matches the Rfam family "Bacterial small subunit ribosomal RNA", at positions 524 to 776 of the family's 1533-position model. The record is from RNAcentral.